GACGAACGCUGGCGGCGUGCUUAACACAUGCAAGUCGAACGGAAAGGCCAUGCUUUUGUGGGGUGCUCGUGUGGCGCGGGGGUGAGUAACACGUGAGUAAACUGCCCUUGACUUUGGGAUAACUUCAGGAAACUGGGGCUAAUACCGGGUAGGAGCUACUGCUGCACGGUGGGGGUUGGAAAGAUUCGGCGGUUGGGGAUGGAUUCGAUGGUUAUGAGCUGGUUGGUGAGGUAGGGGCGGACGAAGGCUUUGACGGGUAGCCGGCCUGAGAGGGGUGCCGGGCACAAGGGGACUGAGAGACGGCCCAGAAGCCUACGGGAGGCAGCAGUGGGGAAUAUUGCACAACGGGCGGACGCCAGAGGCAGCAACGCCGCGAGCGUGAUGCCCUCCUUCGGGGUGUAAACCGCUGUCGCCUUAGCCGAAGCGGGAGUGACGGUAAUGGGUAAAGAAGCACCGGCUAACUACGUG
Molecule: ribosomal RNA, 468 nt
Filed under: uncultured bacterium
Lineage: Bacteria
Description: partial 16S ribosomal RNA
Rfam family: Bacterial small subunit ribosomal RNA
Source: RNAcentral